CCGAGGAAGACUACUACCGGCGCGAACAACCUCCCGGUAUCUUCCUUGGAGAGCUGCAAUCUCAGAAUUCCGAUCUGCACCGGGAACUGGGGAACCUUAAGAAAGAACUGGAAUUAACCAAUCAGAAACUGGGCUCCAGCAUGCAUAGCAUAAAGACCUUCUGGAGCCCUGAGCUGAAGAAGGAGCGGGCGUUGCGGAAGGAAGAGAGCGCCAAAUACAGCCUUAUAAACGACCAACUGAAACUGCUCAAUCAAGAAAAUCAGAAACAAGCUAUGCUGGUACGGCAACUAGAGGAAGAACUAAGAUUGCGCAUGAGACAACCCGCUCCUGAAUUACAACAACAACUGGAAGCCUUAUUCUCCGAGAACGAACACCUGCAAAGAGAGAUAGCCAUAUUGAGAGAUACAAUAAAGGAACUAGAAUUGAGGAUUGAAACACAGAAACAAACGCUCCAAGCCAGAGAUGAGAGCAUCAAAAAAUUACUCGAAAUGCUCCAAAACAAAGGGAUGGGUAAAGAAGAAGAACGCCAAAUGUUCCAACAGAUGCAAGCUAUGGCCCAAAAACAGGAGCUCAAGGCGACGGCGGACACGCUGCGGGCGCUGCAGGUGCAGCUGGAGCGCGCGCUGGCCGCGGCCGGCCUGCCGGGCGGCAGCGCGGGCGCCACGCUCACGGCGGUGCUCGAGACCAAGGAAGCGCGCAUCGCCACGCUCGAGCGGCAGGUCGCCUUGCUCGAAGGCGAGCUGGCCGCGCUCGUGUCGCCGCCGCCGCCCUCGCUCGCGCCCUCGCACGCCUCGCUUUACGAUAAGGCCGACCCUCCCUUCAAGAGACAACUGGACGAGUUCCGGUUGGAGAUCCAGCGGCGAGAUCAAGAGAUCCUGGCGAUGGCCGCCAAGAUGAAGGCCUUGGAGGAGCAGCACCAAGACUACCAGCGCCACAUCGCCGUGCUCAAAGAGUCGCUCUGCGCCAAAGAAGAACAUUACAGUAUGCUGCAGACCGACACAAAGAACUACUACCAUGCACAGGUGGAAGAACUGAAAGCCCGGUUGGAUGAGAAGAGUAGACUAGUGGAGAAGAAGACGGCGGCUGCGUUGUCAGCGACGCACGAGCUCGCUGAGCUCAGAGACCACUCCGAAAUCAAGGAUCGGAAGAUCAACGUGCUGCAACGAAAGAUCGAAAACUUAGAAGAUCUGUUAAAAGAAAAAGACAACCAGGUUGAUAUGGCUAGAGCUAGACUGAAUGCCAUGCAAGCUCACCACUGUUCUUCCGAAGGUGCGCUUUCCUCCCUAGAAGAAGUAAUAGGCGAUAAAGAGAAACAAAUUCAACAACUCAGAGAACAAAGAGAUCGAGCUGAACACGAAAAAAAUGAAGAACGAGAGUUACACGAAAGAGAAAUAGCUGAAUACAAGAUGAAACUCCAUGCCCUAGAGAGUGAGGUUGAAAAACUUGGUGCUAGACUCGAAAGAGCUCAAGCUGAGAAAGACCGACUUGAGGCUAAGUUAGAAAGUUCACAAUCAGAACUGGGCAAGUCCAAAGCAGAGUUAGACAAAGCAGCCAGCGAAGUCGGCAGGUCUGGGGCAGAUUGGGAAGCAGCAAAACAACGCUUAGCUAGACUCGAACUCGAAAACGAAAGACUUAAACACGAACUAGAACGGUCUCAAACAACAUUUGGCAGAAGCACUUUAACAACAUCACAGGAAUUAGACAGAGUGCAAGAGAAGGCUGAUAAGAGUGCUGCGGAGCUUAGACGAACUCUUGCUGAGUUAAGAGUGACUCAAGCUGAUGCAGAAAGAGCUAGAUCAGAAGCUAGUGGACUGCAAGACAAACUAGAAAAGUCCCAAGGUGAAGUUUACCGUCUUAAGGCCAAGCUUGAAAAUGCACAAACUGAACAAGACAGCCUGAAGGAAGAAUAUGAUCGGGUGCAAUCAUCAGUAAGUCGUCUGCAUUCUGAGCGUGAUAAGGCAGUGGCAGAGUUAGAUAAGGCUAGAGAAGAGCUAGAACGAACUCAGGCGACUCUAGGCAAGGCCCAACUACAACAGGACAAGCUUCAAGCCGCACUUGACGCUGCUCAUUCGGAGAUUGACAAACUUCAAGAGAAACUCGAUAAGGCUGCUGCUGAAGUUAGAAAGUGUCAAGUGGACCGCGAGAAGCAAGCAUACGACUUCGAGUCUCUGCAAUCACAACUGGACAAGGCUCUGGGAAUGUCAGCAAGGUUCGGCAAGGAGAGAGACACCGCGCAGAUAGAGGCCGAUAGAUUCCACGACAAGUAUGAGAAGUCACAGGCCCUAGUAGCUCGUAUACAAAAGGAACGCGAUGCAGCGCUAGCCGAAGCUGCCAGCUGUCGCGAGCGAGCCGAAGCUGCGGCCGCGGCAGCUAAUAGAGCAGCGAGGGACCGGGACAGUGCUACCACUGAGCUUGAUGUGCUGAGGGAACGAUGGGAGAAGGCGCAUCAACAGCACCAGAAGUUAACGAUGGAACGAGACGAUGCCGUAACCGAGCUAGAAAUAUUGAAAGAAAAGCUAGACAAAGCCCUCUAUUCCACACAGAAAACAAUCGAAGAAAAGGAGACUGCGCACAAAGAAUACGAAAAAAUGCUUGAGAAGUAUGACAGGUCACAAAACGAAAUCUACCGACUUCAGAACAAGAUAGAUAUUCUAGAAGCAGACAAAGAUCGCAUUGAAAUGGAAUUUGAAAAGCAUGCGCAUAUAGCAACAAAAGCAAGGGAAGAACAACGCAAAACGCAAGACGAACUCGCAAGAUUACAAGAAAUGUACGAUAGGGCGUCUCUCCAACUUGGUAGGACUAAAGAACAGGAAGAAAAAGCCAAGGAAGACAUGGAUAGGUUAAGUGUUGACAUCGAAAUGGUGCGAGAUCGUUACGAGAAGAGCCAAAUCGAACUCAGAAGGUAUCAGGCCGAAAAAGAGAAAUUAGUUGCGGAUAACGAACGUCUUCAAUUCGAAUAUGACAGGGCAAUGACGCAGUGCGGUAAAGCGCAGGCUUCCAAUGAAAAGACGCAAGAGGAAAUGGCCAGAGUGCAAGUAGAACUUGAAAAAAUGUAUGACAAGCAUGACAAGGUAGCCGCUGAACUGAGGAGAGUGCAAGCUGAACUUGAUAAGGUGAAGCAAGAUGCGAGUGGCGCGAGGGAAGAAGCUGAACGAUAUGCGGCCCGAUACGGAAAGUACCACGACACUAAAGAAGAACACGAGAGGACUAAAUUGGAGGUGGAACGACUGCGAGCACGGUUAGAGAAGACCACACUAGACCUGGAACGAGCGCGGAAGGCUGAGGAAGAAGCAUCCCGUCUACGUUCGGAGCUCGAACGCGUUGAAGCUGUCCGAGGUAAAUACCAAUUCGAACAGGACAAGUGGACUAACGAACUGAACAGAGUGCAGGCGGAGCUCGACAAACAACACGAGCGCUACGAAGCGGCGCAAGCAGACAUACAACGUCUGCAAGCCGAGAAGGAGCAAGCAGAGACCAAGCUACACGAGAUGAACAUCCAACUGGAACUGUCCAAGAGCGAAGUCACUAAACUCAGUGCAACGUUAGAAAAGCAGCGAACAGACCUAGAACGCGCUCAUAUUGAGUGCGAGAAAUUCAGAGACCGAUGCGAGAAACUCAAACUGAGGUCAGAACAACUGGAUAAGGACAACGAACGGCUUAAAGGAGAACUGCAACAGAUUGAGAGGAUGAAGCUCCAAGCGGUCGCCGGAGACAAAGCGAGGACCGAAGACAGGCUCGAAAUCGAGCGUCUUCGUGAUAAACUCGAGAAAGCAAUACAAGCUAGAGAUUCUACUGAAAUGGAGGCCGGCCGUUUGGCGAAGGAACUCGAAAAGUCUCAGAUGCAUCUUUCGAAAUAUCAGGAGACCAAUGAAUCGACUCGUGUUGAGUACGAAAGGAUGACGAACGAAUUAGGACGAAUGCACGAGCGUCUUGAACGAACUAUCUUGGAGAUGAGACAUGUUGAACAGGAACGAGAUCAGCUGUUACAAGAGAUACACAACAUGAGAUUCAAUGUGGACCAACAACAGCGAACAUUGGACCACCGCACGCAAGAGACUUUAGUGAAACUGCAGCAAGAGCUCGCUCAGUCCGUACGCGACAGAGAGAAGAUGGCGUCUAUACUAGAACAGAGAGACAAACAAGCAGACGCUAUAGAAAAGCAGAUCGUCAAACUAGAAGCCGAUACAAAGCAACUGACAAUAGAACGCGACCAACUAGUCGCCCAACUAGAAAAGUCUCAAGACAUGCUCGUAAACUUCCAACGGGAACUAAACGCUUCCGAGGCCGAAUUACAAAAACAACGCGAAGAAGUGCGCCGAGUGAAAGAAGAACAGCGUAAAAUGGCGCAAGACACGGGCGGCGCUAAAAGCGUCAUCGAAAGCCGGGACCGCGAAAUCGCUAAAUUGCAACAGCAAGUGCAAGCGGUUACUAAAGAGAAGGAUACAAUUAGACAACGAGCGGAAAAGGCUGAGAAGGAAGCGCAGAAAGUUGGGGAGAUUGAGAAGUGGAGGGCUGCGGUCGAGCAGGAGAAGUCGAAGGCUAUUGCUGCGGAGAGGGCUCUGGCGGAGUGUCAGCAGCGGUUGCAGAGUGUGGAGAAGCAGUUGGCGGCGGCGCUGGCUGCGUCGGGCGGCGCGGCGCGGGGCGGCGAGGCGCUGGCGGCGGCGCAGGCGGAGGCGCGGGCGCACGCGGUGGAGCGCGAGCGCUGCCAGGCGCAGCUCGAGAUGCUCGUGCAGGAAUUGGAGAAGAGUCAGCUCGAUCUUCGAGAAGCGACGAAGAAGCUUCAAGCGGCGGGCGCGCAAAACGCCAAAGCUGGGGAAGACACAGCCCAAGCUAAGAAGCAACUGCAAGAGGAAUUUAAGAAAUUGGACGACGCGAGGAGACAGUUCGAGGAGCAGAGAAGAACAGUGGAGAAUAAACGGAAAGACGUGGAAGAAAAGGAGAAAGCGCUGGCAGAGUUAGAUCGACAGUUGAAGAAGAGGAAAGAGCAAAUGGACCAAAUGGAAGCAUCUUUGAGGAAGGCCGGCGGCAGCACAGCAGCGGUAUCAGACUUGAACCGCAAACUCUCAGACUCGCAGAAGGACGCAGACCAACUGAAGCAGCAACUCGACCAAACCAAGGAGGAGGCGCAGCGCCUCACGGCCGAGACCGAGCGCCUGCUGCAGCUCGUGCAGAUGUCGCAGGAGGAGCAGGCGCAGAAGGAGAAGCAGAUCAUCGACCUGCAACAGUCUGUUAGAAAUCUUCAAGCCAAACUGAAAAGUCAGCAGCAAGCACAAGCACAAAGAGAAGAGGCCGGACCCGCUGGCUUCCUCAAAAGCUUUUUCUAAGUUAGUCCUUCGCACCAAGACUGUCGUUCAUUUAUUUGCUCUUUUUAUUUAAACGUUUUUCUUUAACUGUCGUUCUAACGUCGCAAGACAUCCAUUCCACGUCUUUCGGUAAUAUCACUCGUAAGCUUUACAAAACGCAAUUUCGUAUUAAGUAAUGUUAUCGAUAUUUAUAUUGAAUAUUUAUAACAAAGUGUUCAGAUAAUAAUAUUGAUCUCUUGUUGAACUCCGGUCCGUACGGGUCUCCUCGCUCGUACCAUGUAACUGCACACAAUAACGAUAAUUAUUAGUUUAGCGAUAAUUUAAGUGAUGUUUAAAAACAAAUAAAUAAUCGUGGUGUUCAGCGGGAAUUAUUUUUUAAGUAAUAAAAAAUAACAAUAUUGUAAAACUGUUAAGUAAACAUGUAUCUAGAUAGAUCGAGUAAGUUGUCCACUAGUCGAUGUUACCCAGCUUUCAAUCUUGUUAUGCAAAAUAUCAAUUAACUAUAAAUAAAACGAAAUCUAUGUUGACCUUUCUCGAGUUAUUUUUGAGUUUAUAUUGUUGAUGAGAAUUUUGUUGUUGAAGUAAAACUUAUUCGUUUUUAUUGAUUUUUGUUUUGUUUGUUAUUUAUUUUGAUGUUUGGACCCCACACGGUAGGAUCUGACGCGCGCGAGACAGAGCGAGCUCGCCGCCAUGACAGACCUACAGACCACGCUGGCGCAGAAAGACCUACUCGCUACUAAGUUGGAAGAGAGCAAAAUGAAAGUCAUAGAUCUAGAGAUCGAGCUCAAUGAAUCAUCGCUUAUAUUAUCAGAAGUGCUUAAAAUGCCAGACGGGCCAGAUAUGAAUAACAUUAAAAGAAGUAAAAGCUUUUUCGAGUUGCAAAAGAGUGGUAAGGUAGUGGAUAGGCUUGACAAGUGCAAAUAUAGCAGGAGUGAUAAUGACUUAGACAAAAUGCACUAUAAAGACAAGAAGAAAGAACCACCGGACUUGAGUAAGUUGACGAGAAAGAUAUUUGAUUUGACGAAGGAGAUUGGUAUAAAGAAUUCUAAGUUGAUAGAACAGCAAAGAUGUAUUUCAAUAUUAGAAGAGGCGUUGAGAGAAAAUAACAAUAUAGCAGAAUUUGAACAGUUACUUGCAGUCGUAAGGAGUAAAGAUGAAAGAAUCAAUGAGUUAGAAAAGUUUGUGAAUAAGAAAUGUGGCUCAAGCCCAAGUGACUGUAAAGAUAAGAAAAGAAUAUUAGAACUAGAGGAAGCUUUGAAGGAAUCGGUUUUGAUAGCGGCAGAGAGAGAGAAAGUAUUCUAUGAAGAAGAACAGAGAAGAAUUGAAACAUUAAGAAAGAUGGGCAAAAUGGAACAACGCAUUCGUUCCCUUCAGAACGCUUCAGCACUGAACUGCGGAACUUGCUCGUCAGUGCUGAAGCGCUUGAAGCGGCUGGAAGACGCACUGCAACACUGCCAAGCUAACAGGGACCAUAUAUUGCGACAACUAUCGCAUCUCGUUCAAGACGUGCUGGAAGGUGCAAUUAGCGAGAAAGAUACCCAGAUAGCCGAGCUGGAAGUGAAGGGAGUACUCGACGAGAGCGAUACCAACCGAUACGAUACGCUCAAGGAAGAGCGGGACAGACUGCUCAAUAGGCUUAAGACAGAGAACGAGCGAAUCCUAAAACUGGAGCAAUACAGCGAGCCAUCGCCGCCCUCCCCCGGCACCCUGCCGGUCGACAUCACAGUGACCGACGAGCUGCUACAAGCCUGCGACGACAAUGAGGAGGACAUCCCCGCAACAGUGCUCUAACGACAAACGCAGCUAAGUCAAAACGUAAAUCUGUUUGUGGCCUUAGCCAUCAUCACCGCACUAGUCACCCAUCACCGCUACCUUACCAACUCAUCAUCGCUUAUCACAGCAUUCUGCCAAAUAAAAAAAAAAUCUUCAAUAAAAAACGCCCGCUUGCAACAACUUCUGAAUCUAAACCGAAUUUUAUACCAAAGAUGUUAAUUUUUCUGUAAAUAAAUUAAGUUUUUUUUAUUUGUUA
Molecule: unclassified non-coding RNA, 7332 nt
Filed under: Helicoverpa zea (corn earworm)
Lineage: Eukaryota; Metazoa; Arthropoda; Insecta; Lepidoptera; Noctuidae
Description: myosin-9-like, transcript variant X1
Source: RNAcentral